Molecule: long non-coding RNA, 254 nt
Organism: Numida meleagris (helmeted guineafowl)
Lineage: Eukaryota; Metazoa; Chordata; Aves; Galliformes; Numididae
Exons: 3
Source: RefSeq, a predicted model, not a curated record
CAGCGCUCAUACGUAGCAGCCUGGGAGAAAGACAAAACCAGCGUUCAUAUUAUGCCAGAUACCCCUGGUAUUUUGCUGGCCCAGCAGAACAAAGUGAACUACAGUGAGAAAAUGUACAGGCUGGCAAUGGAAGAAGAUAAGAAGAAGGGCUAUGACCUACGUGCAGAUGCCAUUCCCAUCAAGUCUGCUAAAGCUUCCAGGGAUAUUGCCAGUGAUUACAAGUAUAAAGAAGGGUAUCGCAAGCAGCUUGGCCA